UAGGCAGUGAGAUUUGAUAUUUUGCUGUCUUUUAGGCGAAGCCUGGUAGUCCAGGCAGAAAGAUGUGUAUGUGCCGACUGGUGCGCAGCUCUGCAUGCUGACGGAGGUGCGGAGCAGCAUGGGUGACACAUGGGACACGUUCCCUCACCCUGCACAAUUACCCAGGUUAGACUUUUCCCUCUUUCUCUUGGGACCCAGCUUCUCAGUAAUUAUCCAGAGGAAGAAGUGCCAUCUGUGGGAAGUAACAGAAGCGUUCAGUGGUACUGAUAGAGAAGCAUCGCUUGAAAAGAGAACUCGGGGAACAAGAGCAAGGCUUGAGUGUGCCAGUGCAAUGUGAAUGCACGCGUCAAAGAUGUGCCAUCGUGUUCUUGCAUGCAUUUAAAAGUUGGAUUGAGCAAUAUUGUCUCACUUAAGAGUUUGCUCCUCUGCUUUCCUGUUGCUGGAGGUGGACUCAUACACCGGGAAUUGUUUCUUGCAGAAGCAGGAAGGCGAUUGCAGGGGGGCAAGGGAGGAGGCACCUCCUGGGGGAGCUCUGCCAGGUGGAGAACUUGCUGCUGUUAAGGUGUGGAGAAAAAGAGGGUCUUCCCACCUAACAGAAAAAGCCAUUUUAAACCAAACUCUGUUUUUGUAAUGAAGAUGAUCAGAGCACUGUGGACAGGUGGAAGCCAUGCCAAACAAAUGGGUUGUUUUUUGCCAGGUCCUCCAGCCGAACUGACUCACCCUAUGGCAGUUGCAGGUGCGGUACUGCCUUUCUGUCACAUGGUGGAAAAAAGCAGAGAAGCUUGUGGUGAGACAAGUUUGAGUGAUCCAGUCCCAGACUUGUUUGUUGCUUUCUGCCUGAGAGAGGUGCUGGGGGUGUUGCAGCCUCACCGAGGGACAGCAGCCGUCUCCUUUAGCGCUUCUGCACACAGCUUCUUAGAAGCAACACCAGCUCCUGCCUUCCUCUUAAGAAGGAUGCUUGGUCUGUCAGCUGAAGGGAGAUGCUGAAACUGUGCACACCAGCACAAGUCCCUCGCAUUUCUCUGUGCCCUACCUGAAGCUCUGCCAAGCACAAACCUCAAAGCCGUGUCAGCAGCAUCCCCAGUGGGACCUGGUACGAGAGGAGAUGAGGGGGAACGAGCUGGAAAGAAGCCACCAGAAGAGGAUAGUGCAGGAGAUGCAGUCCGCCGUGGUGGAUAGAUUACUGUGCUGAAAGGGUGCAAGGCAAACCGGGAUCAACCCUGCAGUCUUGAAAUUCAGAUUCAGCUCCAGGGAGCAGCAGGAAACUUCUCAAGGUGUGCCAGGGACAUGCUCUUCCCAGUCCGCACAUUCAUGACUUGCUAGUUCUCCCCUCACUGUUAUCCAGUAUGAUUCCAAAGAAACAAAAUCCACCUUUCCUCCCACUCAAUGCAGGCCAAAGAAAGGACUGAGAAUUACGAAUCCUGCCUCUUGCCUCUCCUUCUCCACUGCCAGCCAACAUCCGUACCAUAAUUCCCGUAAACCUUCUAAACUCAGGAAGCUCUGGCUGGGACAGGUGGUUUCAGAGGAGGCUUUCUUAACAUAUUACAUUCUGAUUGUCUUGCUUGGCAGCUUGCUGAGGACUAAAAAUGACUCUUGAUAGCUGAGAGGACAGUGGCCAUGAGGUGAUGGUUUGGGGUGUCUAAAAUUUUUCUAUCUUUGUGUUUUCUUUUUAAGAGGUGAGAACUGCAAUUAUCAGGGGAAGAAGAGCAAUGAAAUAGAUCUGAACAGCAUAUAACAUUUCCAAAGUGUUGUUGUAUAUGCUUUUAGCAAAGGCAUAUAUUUAUUGUUACCAAACUUUUACUUAAAAAGCAAUAAAGGUUUUUGAUGAAGAAUGAUUUGGACUUUGGGGAUUUCUGACAUAUAUAAGAAAAUUAUGAAAAGCUGCAGUUCCUCCUGGAAAACACCAUUUUGGUGAAAAAAAGAAACAACAUAUUUUGUUGAAAAGGGACUUUCAAAUGUUUUCCACAUUAGUAUUUGAAACUCUUUCUCUGUUAAAGUUUUCGUUUUGUUUUGUUUUGUUUUCUGUAU
Cygnus atratus (black swan) is the source of this 2028-nucleotide long non-coding RNA. RefSeq lists it as uncharacterized. The transcript has 5 exons. The record is from RefSeq and is a predicted model, not a curated record. Lineage: Eukaryota; Metazoa; Chordata; Aves; Anseriformes; Anatidae.